This 103-nucleotide small nuclear RNA is filed under the name Mandrillus leucophaeus (drill). The record is from RNAcentral. Lineage: Eukaryota; Metazoa; Chordata; Mammalia; Primates; Cercopithecidae.
GUGCUUGCUUCAGCGGCACACAUACUACAAUUGGAACAAUAUAGAGAUUAGCAUGGCCCUGCGCAAGGAUAACACGCAAAUUCGUGAAGCAUUCCAUAUAUAU